ACAGCAGUAGCCGCGGGAAUACGGAGGGUGCAAGCGUUAUCCGGAUUUAUUGGGUUUAAAGGGUCCGUAGGCGGACUUAUAAGUCAGUGGUGAAAGCCUGUCGCUUAACGAUAGAACUGCCAUUGAUACUGUAAGUCUUGAGUAUAUUUGAGGUAGCUGGAAUAAGUAGUGUAGCGGUGAAAUGCAUAGAUAUUACUUAGAACACCAAUUGCGAAGGCAGGUUACCAAGAUAUAACUGACGCUGAGGGACGAAAGCGUGGGUAGCGAACAGGAUUAGAGACCCCAGUAGUCCCUGUCUCUUAUAC
This 305-nucleotide ribosomal RNA is filed under the name uncultured bacterium. Its description in RNAcentral is "partial 16S ribosomal RNA". It matches the Rfam family "Bacterial small subunit ribosomal RNA", at positions 508 to 807 of the family's 1533-position model. The record is from RNAcentral.